Molecule: non-coding RNA, 35 nt
Filed under: Trypanosoma brucei brucei
Lineage: Eukaryota; Euglenozoa; Kinetoplastea; Trypanosomatida; Trypanosomatidae
Source: RNAcentral
AUGGUCUUGAUGGUAGUGUUAUAGUGUAAAUUGUA